This 429-nucleotide ribosomal RNA is filed under the name Chloroflexota bacterium. RNAcentral describes it as "Chloroflexi bacterium partial 16S ribosomal RNA". It matches the Rfam family "Bacterial small subunit ribosomal RNA", at positions 355 to 776 of the family's 1533-position model. Lineage: Bacteria; Bacillati; Chloroflexota. The record is from RNAcentral.
UGGGGAAUAUUGCACAAUGGGCGCAAGCCUGAUGCAGCCAUGCCGCGUGUAUGAAGAAGGCCUUCGGGUUGUAAAGUACUUUCAGCGGGGAGGAAGGGAGUAAAGUUAAUACCUUUGCUCAUUGACGUUACCCGCAGAAGAAGCACCGGCUAACUCCGUGCCAGCAGCCGCGGUAAUACGGAGGGUGCAAGCGUUAAUCGGAAUUACUGGGCGUAAAGCGCACGCAGGCGGUUUGUUAAGUCAGAUGUGAAAUCCCCGGGCUCAACCUGGGAACUGCAUCUGAUACUGGCAAGCUUGAGUGUCGUAGAGGGGGGUAGAAUUCCAGGUGUAGCGGUGAAAUGCGUAGAGAUCUGGAGGAAUACCGGUGGCGAAGGCGGCCCCCUGGACGAAGACUGACGCUCAGGUGCGAAAGCGUGGGGAGCAAACAGG